Molecule: ribosomal RNA, 381 nt
Filed under: uncultured Glomeromycotina
Lineage: Eukaryota; Fungi; Glomeromycota
Description: SSU rRNA
Rfam family: Eukaryotic small subunit ribosomal RNA
Source: RNAcentral
AGCAGCCGCGGUAAUUCCAGCUCCAAUAGCGUAUAUUAAAGUUGCUGCAGUUAAAAAGCUCGUAGUUGAAUUUCGGGACUAAUAUGUCGGUCGUGCCUCGGUACGUACUGGCUUAUUGGUUUCUCCUUUCUGAAGAACCAUGAUGUCAUUUAUUUGGUGUCGUGGGGAAUCAGGACUGUUACUUUGAAAAAAUUAGAGUGUUUAAAGCAGGCUCACGCUCGAAUACAUUAGCAUGGAAUAAUGAAAUAGGACGUUUGAUUCUAUUUUGUUGGUUUCUAGGAUUGACGUAAUGAUUAAUAGGGAUAGUUGGGGGCAUUAGUAUUCAAUUGUCAGAGGUGAAAUUCUUGGAUUUAUUGAAGACUAACUACUGCGAAAGCAUUU